AUGUACACGGCUUUCCAGGUGGGCGAACAUACAUUCAAGGCGUGUUCUAUCAUGGGCAUGUCGGAUUCAGAACCUGAAGACCCAGACAAGGGAAGGAACUACUUUGUGAAGGCAUCGAUAAGCGAAGGCGAAUACUACUGCCAAUGCUGCAAAUUCGAACGGGACGGGAUUGUGUGCUGUCACAUUCUAAAAGUAAUGGACUUGAACGCGGUGACACGAAUGCCCCGCCAUUUCAUAAGGCGGCGAUGGACUUGGGACGCUGACGACGCAUUGGCGCCGCAAACAUCAAACGCAGUUUUGGCCGUGCAUGACGAGAGACCAGAGUCAACCAUGGAAGCCGUGAGGCACGUUGUGUUGACAAAGAACUAUGCUGAACUAAUUGAUGAAGCGUGCAAGAGGAUGAGACAGCAAGGGUCGCAGAAAAUCACAGGAAGGCCCUCAAAAGAGAGCUUGAUGAGAUCAAGAAGAGGAAAGCUGAGGAAGCCUUACACAGGUUCCCCCGCACAUCAAGUGUGCCUUCGUCCACACGGCCAUCAUCUGAAAACUCAGGGGUAG
This 555-nucleotide ribosomal RNA is filed under the name Triticum aestivum (bread wheat). RNAcentral describes it as "partial small subunit ribosomal RNA". The record is from RNAcentral. Lineage: Eukaryota; Viridiplantae; Streptophyta; Magnoliopsida; Poales; Poaceae.